UACGUAGGCAGCGAGCGUUGUUCGGAAUUACUGGGCGUAAAGCGUGCGCAGGCGGUUCGUUAAGUCCGUUGUGAAAGCCCCGAGCUCAACUUGGGAAUUGCAGUGGAUACUGGCAGGCUGGAGUACGGUAGAGGAAGGUGGAAUUCCCGGUGUAGCAGUGAAAUGCGUAGAUAUCGGGAGGAACACCAGUGGCGAAGGCGGCCUUCUGGACCAGUACUGACGCUCAUGCACGAAAGCGUGGGGAGCAAACAGG
Molecule: ribosomal RNA, 253 nt
Filed under: uncultured bacterium
Lineage: Bacteria
Description: partial 16S ribosomal RNA
Rfam family: Bacterial small subunit ribosomal RNA
Source: RNAcentral